GGAGAGGUGGCUGAGUGGUCUAUGGCAGCGGUCUUGAAAACCGCCGUACCGAAAGGUACCGAGGGUUCGAAUCCCUCCCUCUCCGCCA
RNAcentral lists this transfer RNA (88 nucleotides) under Oligosphaera ethanolica. RNAcentral's name for it is "tRNA-Ser". It matches the Rfam family "tRNA". From Rfam's summary of the family: Transfer RNA (tRNA) molecules are approximately 80 nucleotides in length. The record is from RNAcentral. Lineage: Bacteria; Pseudomonadati; Lentisphaerota; Oligosphaeria; Oligosphaerales; Oligosphaeraceae.